GACGAACGCUGGCGGCGUGCUUAACACAUGCAAGUCGAACGGAAAGGCCUUUUCGGAGGUACUCGAGUGGCGAACGGGUGAGUAACACGUGGGUGAUCUGCCCUGCACUCUGGGAUAAGCCUGGGAAACUGGGUCUAAUACCGGAUAGGACCGCACUUUAGUGUGUGUGGUGGAAAGUUUUUUCGGUGUAGGAUGAGCCCGCGGCCUAUCAGCUUGUUGGUGGGGUAAUGGCCUACCAAGGCGGCAACGGGUAGCCGGACUGAGAGGUUGGUCGGCCACAUUGGGACUGAGAUACGGCCCAGACUCCUACGGGAGGCAGCAGUGGGGAAUAUUGCACAAUGGGCGCAAGCCUGAUGCAGCGACGCCGCGUGGGGGAUGACGGCCUUCGGGUUGUAAACUCCUUUCGCCAGGGACGAAGCGUUUUGUGACGGUACCUGGAGAAGAAGCACCGGCUAACUACGUG
Molecule: ribosomal RNA, 463 nt
Filed under: uncultured bacterium
Lineage: Bacteria
Description: partial 16S ribosomal RNA
Rfam family: Bacterial small subunit ribosomal RNA
Source: RNAcentral